Molecule: ribosomal RNA, 301 nt
Filed under: uncultured bacterium
Lineage: Bacteria
Description: partial 16S ribosomal RNA
Rfam family: Bacterial small subunit ribosomal RNA
Source: RNAcentral
CAGUAGCCGCGGUAAUACGAAGGGUGCAAGCGUUAAUCGGAAUUACUGGGCGUAAAGCGUGCGUAGGCGGUUUGUUAAGUCUGUUGUGAAAUCCCCGGGCUCAACCUGGGAAUGGCAAUGGAUACUGGCAAGCUAGAGUGUGUCAGAGGAUGGUGGAAUUCCCGGUGUAGCGGUGAAAUGCGUAGAGAUCGGGAGGAACAUCAGUGGCGAAGGCGGCCAUCUGGGACAACACUGACGCUGAGGCACGAAAGCGUGGGGAGCAAACAGGAUUAGAUACCCCCGUAGUCCCUGUCUCUUAUAA